This is a long non-coding RNA of Quercus lobata, 1185 nucleotides long. RefSeq lists it as uncharacterized. NCBI's taxonomy places the organism in Eukaryota, Viridiplantae, Streptophyta, Magnoliopsida, Fagales, Fagaceae. The transcript is spliced from 4 exons. The record is from RefSeq and is a predicted model, not a curated record.
CCUUCAUUCGUUUCUCUUUGGCUUAAACGCAGAGCAUCCCUAUUCUCCAGUCUCGCUCUCUCUGUAUACUUCUGUCAGGUUUUGAAGCUCCCACGUUUUUUCACAUCAGCCAUAUUAAAAAAAAAAAAAAAAAGCUUAUGUUUUCCCGAUAGGCCUCUUUGCCUUUGCCUCUCUCAAUUAUCAAAACCCUAAAAGUCUAAAACCAACCUUUCUCUCUGCCUUUCUAAGCCGUUCUCUCUAUAUCCCUGAUAGUCCACCAUAGCCAUCUCUCCCACCCAUGACUAAGCCGUUACCCGUCAUAGCCAUCACAAAAUCUCCAAUGUUGCAAGCCCAGUUACGCAGGUAAUGCAGCUAGAGCUGAAUUUGAAUAUGAGGGAUGUGCCUAGGAACCCAAAGACAGAUGAUUUUGUUGAUGAUAAUUCAAGAAUCUCAUUCGGCCAGUUGAUACUUAUAUUAGAUGAACUCCAUAAGGUAUGCCACGUCUCAUCUUGCUUCAUUCGUUCUAUUCAUUCUACUGCACAUACCUAAGCUAGCAUAUAGAUCAUCUUUUAAUUUGAAUUAAAUCAUUCUAAAUCAAAGUAAUGUUUCAUGCCUUUGUAGUCCGCCAAAGAAAGCUGCAAUGGUGAUUGUGUGAAUUUAAAUGAGAGCAACAUAUAAUGUAUAUUGGAUAUUCAAGUGAUCAAUGAGGUCGGAGGGUCUACCACUUUCUGAUAUGCUUAGAUAUAUUCUUAUCAUUAUUAAGCCAUGUGCCUGUACGGUAACCUUUUCAGAAUACUUUUUCUUUAUGAACAACCUUUUCAAAUAACCCUAUUUUCCAAAAGCUGAAAAAUAAGCUAUACCAAUCUGGCACGUAAGCAUUUAAACAUUUUGUUAUCCUUAUUAAGUUAUAUAAGCAUUUAGACAAUUUUGAAAUUUUGCUAUUACUAUUGCUACUUCAAACAAACCUCAUGUAAGUUCUGCAUCUUGAAGAUCAAGUAAAGAAUACCUUAAGAGAAGAUUUCUUGAAGAGAACUUCAAUGAGAGUCUUCUUUCUGUAACAAGUCCUGCAUAUUGGUGUUAGGUCCUACUCUCAUCUUGUGCCAAAAUCUGUGUUUGAAGCUAUGACUUAUGAGCUAUUGGAAUGUUGGUAAUAAUGUUUUCAUUGCCAUAAAGCAACCAAGGUGUGGCCUUUAUGUGUUAUGUGGA